CCUACGAGAGGCAGCGGUGGGGAAUAUUGCACAAUGGGGGGAACCCUGCUGCAGCGACGCCGCGUGAGUGAAGAAGUAUUUCGGUAUGUAAAGCUCUAUCAGCAGGGAAGAAAAUGACGGUACCUGACUAAGAAGCCCCGGCUAACUACGUGCCAGCAGCCGCGGUAAUACGUAGGGGGCAAGCGUUAUCCGGAUUUACUGGGUGUAAAGGGAGCGCAGACGGCUGUGCAAGUCUGGAGUGAAAGGCGGGGGCCCAACCCCCGGACUGCUCUGGAAACUGUAAAGCUGGAGUGCAGGAGAGGUAAGCGGAAUUCCUAGUGUAGCGGUGAAAUGCGUAGAUAUUAGGAGGAACACCAGUGGCGAAGGCGGCUUACUGGACUGCAACUGACGUUGAGGCUCGAAAGCGUGGGGAGCAAACAGGAUUAGAUACCCUAGUAGUC
Molecule: ribosomal RNA, 440 nt
Filed under: uncultured bacterium
Lineage: Bacteria
Description: partial 16S ribosomal RNA
Rfam family: Bacterial small subunit ribosomal RNA
Source: RNAcentral